This is a long non-coding RNA of Tribolium castaneum (red flour beetle), 1168 nucleotides long. RefSeq lists it as uncharacterized. The record is from RefSeq and is a predicted model, not a curated record. The transcript is spliced from 3 exons. Lineage: Eukaryota; Metazoa; Arthropoda; Insecta; Coleoptera; Tenebrionidae.
ACGUGCUUGAUUGAUUGUACCAAACAUGACAAUAGCAAGAAAUAUUUUAGCAAUUCAUACAGAAAAUUUUUAAUUUUUUUUGCUGUUUUGUCUGUUGUUCUGUCAAAUGUCAAAUUCACACGAACCUAUACGUCGUAGAUUGAAUUUUGAUCAAAAAUUUUUAUGACUUACCGGGAUAAGCUGAUGGAAUGGACUGUACAUCUCGUGAUGCUUGUAAUGUCCUUCUUCCAUCUGGCCGAAUAGAAACUUUUUCUAGUUUUACCGUCAAAAACCAAAUGAAACUUAUUUAGUUCCAUCCAUGAAACAAGAGCAAGGCCAUUCCUGUCGUUCUCCGCAUAAGACCACAAAUUGUGAUGACCAUUGAAAUCGCCAAUGUAAAGAGCUGGAUUUUCAGAUUUUCAGGCCAUUGGUCAUUAAGGGGUUUAUUAACGGUAAUAAUAAAAAUUCCAGCAAUUUUGACAGUGGGAAGAAAGAUGUUGUUUUCCUGUGUCCUGGCGAUGGACUGGUAGUCUUCGAAAUUCGAUUUACCAUAUGUUGCACAACCGGAAAAAGAUCUAUUUCUGACGAAGUAUGGUUUUCUUGACGAACGAUAGACAUCUAUUUGUUCCAUUAGAGCCAUUUUCGAUAAGAAUCACACUUGAACGAUAAAAUUUAUUCGUUCCCUUAGAGCCAUUUUCGACAAGAAAGUAUACUUAUCCUUUGAAAUUCCUUCUACACUGCUCAACAAUUGAAGUGGAUAUUGGGAAAUAUUCUAAAUUUUGGUACUUCGGUGUAUAUUAUAUAAAAAACACUAUCACAGUAAAUAAAUUAAUACUCACUCACACACAUAAUUAAAAACUGAAGAAAAUUGUCCGUGAAAUACCAGAAGUAAAGGUAAAACAGAAUAUGAAUAAAACCUAACAAAACUUAAAAGUUCUCAAAGUCAAAUUUUACACCCUUCCUUAAAAAAACUUAGUACCGUGUAGGUCCCCCCCUGGCUCUCAGCAGGGCUCUUACACGAUUGGAGAGACUCAUUAUUAAAUUAUUAAUAAAAUCUUGAGGUAUCGCCCCCAAAUGUCUUGCAAUGCAUUAGCCAGUUCUUGUAACGUUUCAGGAGGCUGCUGGAGCUGGUUUAAACGCCUAGACAUUUCGGCCCAAACAUGUUCAAUGCAGUUCAUGUCAGGCGAAC